This 131-nucleotide ribosomal RNA is filed under the name Castor canadensis (American beaver). Lineage: Eukaryota; Metazoa; Chordata; Mammalia; Rodentia; Castoridae. The record is from RNAcentral.
GUCUACAGUCAUACCACUCUGAAUGCACCCAAUCUCAUCUGAUCUUGGAAGCUAAACAGGGUCAGACCUGGUCAGUACUUGAAUGGAAGACAGAUCUUCAGAAGGGACUGCUCAGAGACAGUUUGGAGACA